RNAcentral lists this ribosomal RNA (417 nucleotides) under Triticum aestivum (bread wheat). RNAcentral's name for it is "partial small subunit ribosomal RNA". Lineage: Eukaryota; Viridiplantae; Streptophyta; Magnoliopsida; Poales; Poaceae. The record is from RNAcentral.
GCAAGACUAUUUCGCGGGGAAUCCUACAUAUCCUCCGCACCUCUUCCGGAGAAGGUACCGAAUGCGCCGAUCCUCUUUGUGAAAAUUGUUGAAGCUUGCGAGGCAAAUUGCCGUUAUUUUACUCAAAGAAGGAAUGUCGCGGGCUUAAAGGGAUUUAGUGCAUAUCAAAAAAUCUCCGCAGCUAUGCGGGUGAUUGCAUAUGGCGUUCCGGCUGACUAUGCCGAUGAGUAUCUUCGCAUUGGUGAAGAUAGCACAAUUGAGUCUGUGCGUAGAUUUGCGAAAGUGAUCAUCUGUGUCUUCGGUCCUGAGUAUCUUCGGGCACCCAAUGAAGAUGACACAAAGAAAUUGAUGGCAUCUAAUCAGAGGAGAGGUUGGCCUGGCAUGCUAGGUAGCAUUGAUUGUAUGCAUUGGAAUUGG